RNAcentral lists this transfer RNA (73 nucleotides) under Marmota monax (woodchuck). RNAcentral's name for it is "tRNA.Ala". The record is from RNAcentral. Lineage: Eukaryota; Metazoa; Chordata; Mammalia; Rodentia; Sciuridae.
UGGGGUUGUGGCUCAAUGAUACAGCGCUUGCCUAGCAUGUGUGAGGCACUGGGUUCAAUCCCCAGCACCACAA